CCCAGGUGUGGCCAGGAACGCCCAGGUAUAGCCUGGACCCCCCCCAGGUGUGGCCAGGAACGCCCAGGUAUAGCCUGGACCCCCCCAGGUGUGGCCAGGAACUCCCACGUGUAGCCAGGACCCCCACAGGUGUGACCAGGACCCCGUUAGGUGUGGCCCUGGCCCCCCCAGGUAUGGCCUGGACCCCCCCCAGGUGUGGCCCUGAGCCCUGCACCGACCCCACAGUGCAGGGUGGGCUGAGGGCAGGGAGGUCUGUGCAGGACAGAUGUGUAAAUGGACAGGUGUGUAAAUGGACAGGUGUGUGAGGUACAGGUGUGUAAAUGGACAGGUGUGUAAAUGGACAGGUGUGUGAGGUACAGGUGUGUAAAUGGACAGGUGUGUGAGGUACAGGUGUGUAAAUGGACAGGGAUGUAAAUGGACAGGUGUGUGGCAGGUAUGGCAGGUACAGGUGUGUGUCAGGUACAGGUGUACCAGGUACAGGUGUGUACCAGGUACAGGUGUGUUCCAGGUACAGGUGUGCCAGGUACAGGUAUACCAGGUACAGGUGUACCAAGUACAGGUGUGCCAGGUACAGGUGUGUCAGGUACAGAUGUGUUCCAGGUACAGGUGUGUAUCAGGUACAGGUGUGUCAGGUACAGGUGUGCCAGGUACAGGUGUGUCAGGUACAGGUGUACCAGGUACAGGUGUGUUCCAGGUACAGGUGUGUUCCAGGUACAGGUGUGCCAGGUACAGGUGUGUCAGGUACAGGUAUACCAGGUACAGGUGUGCCAGGUACAGGUGUGUCAGGUACAGGUGUGUCAGGUACAGGUAUGCCAGGUACAGGUGUGUCAGGUACAGGUGUGUCAGGUACAGGUGUGCCAGGUACAGGUGUGUCAGGUACAGGUGUGUCAGGUACAGGUGUGCCAGGUACAGGUGUGUGUCAGGUACAGGUGUACCAGGUACAGGUGUGUCAGGUACAGGUAUACCAGGUACAGAUGUGUUCCAGGUACAGGUGUGUCAGGUACAGGUAUACCAGGUACAGGUGUACCAGGUACAGGUGUGGCAGGUACAGGUGUGUCAGGUACAGGUAUACCAGGUACAGGUAUACCAGGUACAGGUGUGUCAGGUACAGGUAUACCAGGUACAGGUGUACCAGGUACAGGUAUGCCAGGUACAGGUGUGUCAGGUACAGGUGUGCCAGGUACAGGUGUACCAGGUACAGGUGUGCCAGGUACAGGUGUGCCAGGUGUGCGGCAGGUACCGUGCAUGUUGUAGUCAAAGGUGAGCUCCUCCCCUGCCCGGAUGGGCCGCGUGGCGAAGAGCGCGAUGCGCGGCAGGCGCUGGUCCAGGUUCUCGAUGAACACGUUGUACACCUGCAGGUUGGGGUCACACUGCCCCGCCCGGCAGGUGAGACACACCUGGCAGGUGAGCCCCACCCCCAUGAGCUCCACCCACGGCACCCGAGACACGCCCACACCUGGGGAACAGGUGCUGGAAGCGCCACCCACACGGCAGGUAAGGCCACACCUCUGCACAGGUAAAGGCCCAUCUGGGAGCAGGUUCAGCCCCACCUGUGGGCGGGUAAACCCACACCUGAACCCAGGUAAGCCCACACCUGUGGGCAGGUAAACCUACACCUGAGCCCAGGUAAACCCACACCUGAGAACAGGUAAAUCCCACACCUGUGAACGGGUAAACCCACACCUGAGCUCAGGUAAACCCACACCUGUGGGCAGGUAAAUCCACAGCUGAGAACAGGUAAAUCCCACACCUGAGUUCAGGUAAACCCCCACGUGUGGGCGCGUAAACCCGCACCUGAAACCAGGUAAAUUCACUGCUGAGCCCAGGUAAGCCCCCACCUGUGGGAGGGUAAACCCACAACUCGGCCCACAUGAAUACCCUCCUGUGGGCAGGUAAACCCACACCUGAGAACAGGUAAACCCACACCUGAGAACAGGUAAACCCACACCUGAGAACAGGUAAAUCCCACACCUGUGGGCAGCUAAACCCACACCUGAGAACAGGUAAACCCACACCUGAGAACAGGUAAAUCCCACACCUGAGCCCAGGUAAACCCACACCUGAGAACAGGUAAAUCCCACACCUGAGCUCAGGUAAACCCACACCUGAGCCCAGGUAAACCCACACCUGAGAACAGGUAAAUCCCACACCUGUGGCUGGCUAAACCCACACCUGAGCUCAGGUAAACCCGCACCUGAGAACAGGUAAAUCCCACACCUGUGAACGGGUAAACCCACACCUGAGCCCAGGUAAACCCACACCUGAGAACAGGUAAAUCCCACACCUGAGAACAGGUAAACCCACACCUGAGCUCAGGUAAACCCCCACGUGUGGGUGGGUAAACCCACACCUGAGCCCAGGUAAGCCCACCUGAGCCCAGGUAAGCCCCCACCUGUGGGCGGGUAAACCCACACCUGAACCCAGGUAAACCCACACCUGAGGGCAGGUAAACCCGCACCUGUGGGCAGGUAAGCCCACACCUGAGCCCAGGUAAACCCACACCUGAGCCCAGGUAAGCCC
This 2520-nucleotide long non-coding RNA is filed under the name Lonchura striata (white-rumped munia). RNAcentral describes it as "domestica (Bengalese finch) lncRNA (ENSLSDG00000002413.1)". The record is from RNAcentral. Lineage: Eukaryota; Metazoa; Chordata; Aves; Passeriformes; Estrildidae.